CCUACGGGAGGCAGCAGUGGGGAAUCUUGCGCAAUGGACGAAAGUCUGACGCAGCGACACCGCGUGCGGGAUGACGGCCCUCGGGUUGUAAACCGCUUUCAGCAGGGACGAAAUUGACGGUACCUGCAGAAGAAGCCCCGGCCAACUACGUGCCAGCAGCCGCGGUAAU
This 169-nucleotide ribosomal RNA is filed under the name uncultured bacterium. Its description in RNAcentral is "partial 16S ribosomal RNA". It matches the Rfam family "Bacterial small subunit ribosomal RNA", at positions 338 to 524 of the family's 1533-position model. The record is from RNAcentral.